Molecule: ribosomal RNA, 169 nt
Filed under: Vigna longifolia
Lineage: Eukaryota; Viridiplantae; Streptophyta; Magnoliopsida; Fabales; Fabaceae
Description: 5.8S ribosomal RNA
Rfam family: 5.8S ribosomal RNA
About the family: 5.8S ribosomal RNA (5.8S rRNA) is a component of the large subunit of the eukaryotic ribosome. It is transcribed by RNA polymerase I as part of the 45S precursor that also contains 18S and 28S rRNA.
Source: RNAcentral
UCAUGAAAUGACUCUCGGCAACGGAUAUCUAGGCUCUUGCAUCGAUGAAGAACGUAGCGAAAUGCGAUACUUGGUGUGAAUUGCAGAAUCCCGUGAACCAUCGAGUCUUUGAACGCAAGUUGCGCCUGAAGCCAUUAGGUUGAGGGCACGCCUGCCUUGGGUGUCACAC